RNAcentral lists this long non-coding RNA (1467 nucleotides) under Monodelphis domestica (gray short-tailed opossum). RNAcentral describes it as "lncRNA (ENSMODG00000045327.1)". Lineage: Eukaryota; Metazoa; Chordata; Mammalia; Didelphimorphia; Didelphidae. The record is from RNAcentral.
GAUUCCAGCUCUGAAAACAGCCCCUGUUCUAAGGUUUCUCCCAGCCUUGACAUUCCCUGUUCUAGUCCCUCUCCAGGCUCUGACAUUCCCUGUUCUAAGCCCCCUCCAGGCUUGGACAUUCCCUGUUCUAGUCCCUCUCCAGGCUCUGACAGUCCCUGUUCUAGUCCCUCUCCAGGCUCUGACAGUUCCUGUUCUGCACCCUCUCUCAGCUCUGAUAUUUCCUGUUCUAAGCCCCCUCCAGGCUCUGACAGUCCCUGUUCUAAGCCCCCUCCAGGCUCUGACAGUCCCUGUUCUAAGCCCCCUCCAGGCUCUGACAGUCGCUGUUCUAAGCCCUCUCCAGGCUCUAACAGUCCCUGUUCUAGUCCCUCUCUCAGCUCUGAUAUUUCCUGUUCUGCACCCUCUCUCAGCUCUGAUAUUUCCUGUUCUAAGCCCCCUCCAGGCUCUGACAGUCCCUGUUCUAGUCCCUCUCCAGGCUCUGACAGUCCCUGUUCUAAGCCCCCUCCAGGCUCUGACAGUCGCUGUUCUAAGCCCUCUCCAGGCUCUAACAGUCCCUGUUCUAGUCACUCUCUCAGCUCUGAUAUUGCCUGUUCUAAGCCGCCUCCAGGCUCUGACAGUCCCUGUUCUAGUCCCUCUCCAGGCUCUGACAGUCCCUGUUCUAAGCCCCCUCCAGGCUCUGACAUUCCCUGUUCUAAGCCCUCUCCAGGCUCUGACAGUCCCUGUUCUAGUCCCUCUCUCAGCUCUGAUAUUUCCUGUUCUGCACCCUCUCUCAGCUCUGAUAUUUCCUGUUCUAAGCCCCCUCCAGGUUCUGACAGUUCCUGUUCUAAGCCCCCUCCAGGCUCUGACAGUCCCUGUUCUAAGCCCCCUCCAGGCUCUGACAGUCCCUGUUCUAAGCCCUCUCCAGGCUCUGACAGUCCCUGUUCUAAGCCCCCUCCCAGCUCUGACAGUCCCUGUUCUAAGCCCCCUCCCAGCUCUGACAGUCCCUGCUCUAAGCCCCCUCCAGGCUCUGACAGUCCCUGUUCUAAGCCCCCUCCCAGCUCUGACAGUCCCUGCUCUAAGCCCCCUCCAGGCUCUGACAGUCCCUGUUCUAAGCCCUCUCCAGGCUCUGACAUUCCCUGUUCUGCACCCUCUCUCAGCCCUGACAUUCUCCUUUUCCGGGUCACUCCCAGCUCCUAUAGUCUGGGCCUUAAAAAUCCUUCCGGGUUCUCUUCUCGGUGCUCCCUGGGAGUCUUUUCUCCUUUCCUGGUUCAAGGUCCCUCUCGGCCCCGGGGUUCUCUGGGCUUGGCACUCCGGGGGUGCCGCCCUCCCUGCAGCCUCCAGGAGCCUCGCUCAGGUGCAGGGGAGCCACAGACAAAGGAGGACACAACGGCAGCUCUCCGGGAGUCUCUGCGAGCCACGGAAAGGCUGUGUGCAGGGAGGAGAAGGGAAUUGAAGCGCCAACCCCAACGUGGGCUCACCUUGGCCCUUUAG